GGGAGUGGGGUACUAAUACAUGCAAGUCGAGCGAAUGGAUUAAGAGCUUGCUCUUAUGAAGUUAGCGGCGGACGGGUGAGUAACACGUGGGUAACCUGCCCAUAAGACUGGGAUAACUCCGGGAAACCGGGGCUAAUACCGGAUAACAUUUUGAACCGCAUGGUUCGAAAUUGAAAGGCGGCUUCGGCUGUCACUUAUGGAUGGACCCGCGUCGCAUUAGCUAGUUGGUGAGGUAACGGCUCACCAAGGCAACGAUGCGUAGCCGACCUGAGAGGGUGAUCGGCCACACUGGGACUGAGACACGGCCCAGACUCCUACGGGAGGCAGCAGUAGGGAAUCUUCCGCAAUGGACGAAAGUCUGACGGAGCAACGCCGCGUGAGUGAUGAAGGCUUUCGGGUCGUAAAACUCUGUUGUUAGGGAAGAACAAGUGCUAGUUGAAUAAGCUGGCACCUUGACGGUACCUAACCAGAAAGCCACGGCUAACUACGUGCCAGCAGCCGCGGUAAUACGUAGGUGGCAAGCGUUAUCCGGAAUUAUUGGGCGUAAAGCGCGCGCAGGUGGUUUCUUAAGUCUGAUGUGAAAGCCCACGGCUCAACCGUGGAGGGUCAUUGGAAACUGGGAGACUUGAGUGCAGAAGAGGAAAGUGGAAUUCCAUGUGUAGCGGUGAAAUGCGUAGAGAUAUGGAGGAACACCAGUGGCGAAGGCGACUUUCUGGUCUGUAACUGACACUGAGGCGCGAAAGCGUGGGGAGCAAACAGGAUUAGAUACCCUUGGUAGUCCCA
Molecule: ribosomal RNA, 783 nt
Filed under: Bacillus cereus
Lineage: Bacteria; Bacillati; Bacillota; Bacilli; Caryophanales; Bacillaceae
Description: bacterial SSU rRNA
Rfam family: Bacterial small subunit ribosomal RNA
Source: RNAcentral